Clarias gariepinus (North African catfish) is the source of this 420-nucleotide non-coding RNA. Lineage: Eukaryota; Metazoa; Chordata; Actinopteri; Siluriformes; Clariidae. The record is from the annotation of a RefSeq genome assembly.
AUGACUGAGAGCUGCUGCUCAGCAACUUCACCCACAGCAACCAUGACUUUGAUCAGCGUCUUCAUCUGCACACUGGCCCUCUGGACUCAAGGAUCCAGAGGUCAGGUGACUGUGACUCAGACUCCUUCAGUGCAAACUGUUGCUCCAGGAAACACCGUCACCAUCAACUGUAGAACCAGCAGCAGUGUGUAUAAUAAUAACUACCUCGCCUGGUACCUGCAGAAAUCUGGAGAAGCUCCUAAACUCCUGAUCUACAAUACUAACAGCUUAUACACAGGGACUCCAGGUCGUUUCAGUGGCAGUGGAUCUGGUACUGACUUCACUCUGACCAUCAGAGGAGUCCAGACUGAAGAUGCAGGAGUUUACUACUGUCAGAGUUACCAUUAUAUCAGUAGUAGUGAUGUGUUCACACAGUGUUAG